RNAcentral lists this long non-coding RNA (221 nucleotides) under Gallus gallus (chicken). The record is from RNAcentral. Lineage: Eukaryota; Metazoa; Chordata; Aves; Galliformes; Phasianidae.
GGCUCGCUUGUACAGUUCUUCAGUGCACAGCUCUUCUGCUCCCUCGUGUUUGCGCUUUGGAGACGCCUGGUCAGACUGCGGCAGUCUGACUGCUGUACUGGUGCUGCUGCCCUGCCCCGGAGCUGAGUCUGUAACUGGGCCACUGAGGUCUUCCACACAUGAAGGGACUGAUGCCAAUAAACAGAGCCCCCUGUAGCGUGAUAGUUGCUGGUAGAUCUGCU